RNAcentral lists this ribosomal RNA (498 nucleotides) under uncultured bacterium. RNAcentral's name for it is "partial 16S ribosomal RNA". It matches the Rfam family "Bacterial small subunit ribosomal RNA", at positions 30 to 523 of the family's 1533-position model. The record is from RNAcentral.
AUUGAACGCUGGCGGCAUGCCUUACACAUGCAAGUCGAACGGCAGCGGACCUUCGGGUGCCGGCGAGUGGCGAACGGGUGAGUAAUAUACCGGAACGUACCAUUGAGUGGGGGAUAACGUAGCGAAAGUUACGCUAAUACCGCAUAUUCUCUCCGGAGGAAAGCAGGGGACCGCAAGGCCUUGCGCUCUUUGAGCGGCCGAUAUCAGAUUAGCUAGUUGGUGAGGUAAAGGCUCACCGAGGCGACGAUCUGUAGCGGGUCUGAGAGGAUGAUCCGCCACACUAGAACUGAGACACGGUCCAGACUCCUACGGGAGGCAGCAGUGGGGAAUUUUGGACAAUGGGGGCAACCCUGAUCCAGCCAUGCCGCGUGAGUGAAGAAGGCCUUCGGGUUGUAAAGCUCUUUCGGGUGAGAAGAAAUCGUACAGGCUAAUAUCCUGUGCGGAUGACGGUAUCACCAUAAGAAGCACCGGCUAACUACGUGCCAGCCGCCGCUGUAA